RNAcentral lists this long non-coding RNA (1276 nucleotides) under Homo sapiens (human). Its description in RNAcentral is "HSALNT0114327". Lineage: Eukaryota; Metazoa; Chordata; Mammalia; Primates; Hominidae. The record is from RNAcentral.
CAGUUUGAUUAUGAUUUUAUAUUAUUUGUUUUGAUGUGCUUAAAUUUUUGCCAGUUGUUUUCUGAAUAUUUUCCUUAUAUUCCAGUUUUCUCAUUUGGAUAAUUUACACUUCCACCUGAGGAAUAGGUGUAUUAGUCCAUUCUUGCAUUGCUAUAAAGAACUACCUGAGACUGGGUAAUUUAUAAAGAAAAGAGGUUUAAUUGACUCACAGUUCUCCAGGCUGAACAGAAAGCAUGACUGAGGAAGCCUCAGUAAACUUACAAUUAUGGCAGAAGGUGAAGAGAAAGCAGACACCUCUUAACAUGCUGGAGAAGGAGGAAGAGAGAGAGAAGGGGGAAGUCCUACACUCUUUUAUAAACAACCAGAUCUCAUGAGAAUUCACUCACUAUUACAAGAACAGAAAGGUUCUUGGUUCAUGGUUCAAUCAGCUCCUACCAGGCUCCUCCUCCAACAUUGGGGAUUACAAUUCAACAUGAAAUUUCAGCAGAGACACUGACUCAAAUCAUAUCAGCAGAUGGGAGAAUAUUCUAAAUGAAUUAUUAACCCAGAAGAAUUUAAGAAAAUUUCAUUGCACCCAGGAGAGGAAAAAAAAAGAAUCCAUCCUCCUUCUUGGUGAAGGUGAGUGAUGGCCAGCAUCCCAACAUCCAAUAUGUGGUCAGAAAAUGUCUCUUCUGAAUUUGACAUAAAGUGUGUGUUCUUGCAGUCAACUACAAUGAAUAGCCUUUAAAACCCUUUUUCAAGCUUAGUAUUCUAUAAAUUAAUGAAUACCUACUAGACACUUGUAGGUGCACAAUAUUAGUAGAAACAGAGAAAUCCAACACAAUAAAAGAAGAAAAAUAAACCCAACAGAGAGAAGUAUUACAAAAUAAAACUUGUAUUAUGGAGUGAAAGGAAACAGAAAUAAUUCAGUAAUGGUUUGCACUUAUAUAAAAGCUAAUUACAUUUUAUGUACAUUAUAUUAAGUACAAUUUCAUGGAUCAGAAGGUUUUUUUUAAUAGUAACAAAUGUGUUAUGGGAGUUUAGAUGAAAAGAAAAACUUUGAGUGUAAUCAAACACUGGAAUAAACCUCUCCAAAUAUUGGUAGAAUGUCCAUCACUAGAGGUAUUUUUAAAAAGUUCAUGUCAGACUAGAAUAUGACUUCAGGAGGUUUCUACAUUUAAACAAAAAUUCAACAAAAUAAUUAUUAAUAAGCCAAUUAUUCCAGGGCUAUUGAAAAUGGUUAAAAAUAAACUUAUUUUAAAAAUAACAUUGGAAUAAUAAAAUUUAUUCACAGGAG